CCUCUUUUACCUUUUACACAUCUCUUGUUAAUUUCUGUCAUUUAAUAUUCUUUAAUCCAUUCAAUCAGAAGAUUAAAAAUUGAAUAAAGUGUGUAAAUAACACCACUCUUCUCUUAAUCAAGUAUUUCAAUGAGUCCCACUUAAUGAUGUUUCUUUGCUUUUUCGUAAAUCAUUGUAACUUUUCUUUUGGCUUGUAAUGAAUGUCUCCUUCCAAGGUCGUUCACCGCCCUUCUCCUAAUUAUGUAAAUUAGUCCAUUUAAUGACCUUUUCUUGCUUUUUCCUAAAUCGUUAUAACUUCUUCUUCUUCUUUUUUUUCUUUUUUUUUCUAAAAGCAACUCCACCUUUGCUUAUUGUCUUGGGGAUGAGCAACCCAAUUUAAUUGUAGCAACGGUUCUUCCAACAUGAAUCUUUUUAACAUAAUUUUGAUAGAGUUGACAUAAAGAAUCAUAGUUGCAUAUUUUGGUAAGUUCAGAGGCCAAUGAUAAUGAAUUUUUUUUUAUUGAUCAUUGCUCUAAUUGAAUUAAAAUUAAAGAAUUAUUGAUACAAUUUUCUCUUAAAAAAACAAGUAAAAAUAUGCAAGAGGAAGGAAGAGAGGAGCAAUUUUCUAUAUUUUUGAAUUAAUUUUAAUUCACAUGAAAUCCGGAACAGGAUGAUGUGUUUUUCUUUGUAAUGAAGGGAAAGGGAUCCUCUCCAUAUCCCUUCCUCGUAAUCUACCAAAUCAGGAAAUUUGUAUUGUUAAAAUUUGAUUCAACGGUUAAAAACAGAUAUCUACUUUAAAAAUUAUAAUAACUUCAAUUAUUGGAUCAAAUUUCAACGGUAUGAAUGUUCUAAUUUGAUGGAUUAGAAGAAAAGAGAAUUUCUUUCCGUAACGAAGGAUUAUCGUGUGUAAGUCUUUAUUCACAUAUCUCAAUUAACUCAAUUAACUACGAUUGUGACGGGCACCUGUUACAUGUACAUCAAUCUCAAUUAUUACAUUAGUCAGUCCUGCCAUUGACCGACUGUUUGGCAUCAUGGGCUUCUUACGUGUACGUCAAUCUCAACUAUUACAUAAGUCAAUCAUAUCAGGUAUCGUUUGAUAUAUAGACGGGACGGGACAAGACGAGACGGAACAAAGGGAGCAAAGAUGCCUUCGGAUGGAAAAAAGGAGGAAGAAGAAGGAGACGGAGAUGUUAUAAUUUUGUGUUCCACGGAUGUGGAACGAGUCGUUCCAGGAAGGUGAGGUGGAACAAAAAUUUAUCCAAAACUCGUCCCGUGAAACAGCGCAUUCCACCUGUUUCCGUGGAACAACGCAUUCCACCCGUUUUAGGCGCACCAAAUGUGGGACGGAACACCUCAUCUCAUUUCGUUCCGUCCUGUCCCACGUACCAAUACCUCAUUGAACGACUGUCCGGCAUCAUGGGCCUGGCUUUAACUUAGCAUGACUUUUCCUCUUGGAUAUUUUUCAAUACUUUUGCUGCACGGAGGGUGCUCUAGCCACUAGAAGGUUAGACUUCUUUCUUGGUCAUGUAGAACUUUAAUUUCUAAUUCCAAUUUGAAUUUCCACUCUCAUUUCUCUAAAGACUUGAAAGUAAACGCAAGAAUAUAACUUUUCUUCUAAAAAUUUCAUCCCUUUAUCCAAUUGCAAACUAGCAAUCUCAUUCCCUAGACUUGAAAGUAAACACAAUAAUAUUAUUUAGUUGUGUUAUUUACACACUUUCUUUUACCUCAAACGCAUCCUUUAUUAAUUUUUGUUUUUUUUAUUGUUUUAAGUUCAUUAUAUCGGCGAUUGAAAAUUGAAUAAAGUAUGUAGAUAGCACCACUCUUCUCUUAAUCAAGUAUUUUAAUGAGUCCCACUUCAUGAGGUUUUCUUGCUUUUUCGUAAGUAGUUGUAACUUUUUUAUAGGCUUGUAAUGAAUGUUUCAAGGUCGUUUACCAUGAGAAAUUUUUCAUUGUGAUUGAAACAGGAAUGAUACACCAUAUAUUUUUAUAUAAGUAAUGAGAAAUUUUAUUUUUUAAGAUAUUAACUUUUUAACAUACAUAUCCCACUAUUUGCAUAAUGACACAUGAUGUUUCAUUCCGUGUUCCAAUCACACUGAAAAAUUUCUCGUUCACCAUCCCUUUUCUAAUCAUGUCAAUGAGUCCCAUUUAAUGACCUUUUCUUGUUUUUUCCUAAAUCAUUAUAACUUUUUUCUUUGCUUCUAAUGAAUGUCACUCUCCAAAGUUGGUUUUUUGUGUUCACGUGAUGCAUCAACCAGCAUCCACAUCCUCUUAAAUAAAUAGUUAAUUUGUUUAACGAAAAAUGAUUUGAUAUCUUAUUAUUGUCUUUUGGUACUCCAUUAAUUUAUACAAUUUUAGUCCUAAUUCCAUUAAUUUAUUAUUGUCUUUUGAUACUCCAUUAUAUGGACAAGACUGAUGAAGAAGAAGAACACCAUAUUCCUUUUCUAACUGUGUACCCAAUGGAACUGACAAAGCAUCAUACAUUCUUGUGCAAGACUGAAUAAUCAGAGAUAUCAUCCAAAUUAUAAGAAAGAGAAAGAGAAAGAGAAAGAGCAUAAGCUGUGCUGCCAGGGUCACCAAGGCAGGGGACUUGAAUCCCAAGGUAUCUUCCAACAGGUGGGCAGCUGAAUAAGGUAACGUUAUGGAUCUCGAAAAUUGACAAGUAGAAGGGAGAGAGUGGCAUGUUUGGGAGUUUUACAGGCCUUAUUAGCAUCAAGCAGUCAUAUGUGUAUGUGCUAUACACUUGGAUUUCUUGACGCUUGUAAUCUAUGCGUUUGACAAAGAAUUUUACUAGGAUUAUCCGCUGCUCAUCUGUCUGAUUGCAUUCAAGCCCAGGAUCACAAUGAUGCUUGAGGUGCAAUGAAAAAUGGAUAGCUGGACCUUGAUCAUUGCUACAUUUGGAUUCGGAGCACGUAAAUUAGCUUGCUUCAACUAGUUUGAAGAAAACCAAUAACAAUAUGCAAAAGGAUGCGAUGAGCAAUUUUUGCAUUUCUAAGCUAGUAAUAGUAAUAAUAAUGUGCAUGGAAUCUAAUUAAGGGCGCACACAUAUAUAUAUACAUACGUAAUAAUUAUAGAGUAUUCUCCAUUAACAAUAUGCAAAAGGAAGAGAGGAGCAAUUCCUUCAUCAUAUCAUUACACAAGUCGGUCUUUGCCAUUGACCGACUUUCCUCUAUGAUAUUUCCUAUGCUAAUCAAUAAUUUGAAGUGCUUACUGCAUGCAACUUCACGGAAGGUGCUUCCUUUUUUAUUACACAAAUUAAAAAUAAAAGAUUAUCUGUCUUAAAUUGUCUUCUCAACUGCCAAGUACUGGAUUGUUUUCGUGGAUGUGACCUUCUCCAACCUACUCUUCUCAAUUACUAAAAUGCUACAAAUGCACUACCAAAAUACUAAAUAAAGGACUUUGAAAUUCCAUAAAAUUCUAUGGAAUUUAUAACUCUUUUAAAAUCCUUCAAAAUCUUAAUUAAACACACCUCUCUAGGUUUUGUCAUCCAAAAACCGUCCCUGCCCUCAGAGGGUACUUUUAUUGAUACCCAAUUUUAUGUUAAGUUCACCAACUAAGAAAUUUUUGUCAUAGCUUCCCAAUGAUCCUCCACUAAUAACAUCAGAAUUUUCAAGCUUCCCCCACCCCCAACUCCGCUGCCACCUCCUCUCUUCUCACGCUGCCUCCCUCCUCCCUCCCUCUCAUUUCAUUGCACAAGUCAAUCUUUGCUAUUGACUGACUGUGUCAAACAAACAUCAUUGACUGACUUUCCUCUAAGAUAUUUUCUAAUUAAUAAUUGGAACUUCACGGAAGGUGCUUGCUUUAACCCCACUCCUAUAUUAUAAUAUGGGUAUGUAUACAACUGUCUAAACUACUACUUUUUGUCUACUAGUGAACAACUCUCUCUCUCUCUCUCUCUCUCUCUUGUACCCAUGGAAAAAAGUGGAAGCAGAUCCUUCACCUUGUCUUGGUGGCCUUUCGUUCUAGCCUUUCUUGUUCUUUGCUUUUGCAGUGAAACUUGUAACGCUAAGGAUGAUAGUAAGUCUUCAUGUACCUCCUCCUGCGGCCUUAUCCAUAACAUAACUUAUCCUUUUCGACUAAACGAUGAUCCGAAGAGAUGUGGCGAUAGAAGGUAUACUCUUUCCUGUGAGAACAACAAUAUUACAGUACUAGAUCUACAUUAUCAUGGUGAAUACUAUGGUAAAUACCACGUACAGGCAAUCAAUUACGAGAACCAAACAAUCCGACUUCGAGAUCCUGGCCUUGACAACAACAAUUGCUCUUCCCUGCCUCGAAAUUUUCCGCCUGUCAAUUUUGCUGGAGUUACAUAUUCUUCAGUUAUGUAUAUGAUUGGUCCAUAUGUUUCACUGUUUUCAACGUCAGUAUAUUACCUGAGGUGUAGAAACCAAGUAAAUUCUUCUCUGUACGUGGAUACUGCUCCAUGCUUGAAUAAUAGUGCCACUUCUUUGAUCCAACCAAAAUCUUAUAGUUAUGUCAUGGUUGACCGCCCAUAUAGCCCAAGCUAUAUGGAAGAUUUGAAUGAGGGUUGCAGAGUCGAGGGGAUGGCUCUCGUGCGGUUGGACUACUCUAGCGGGUCCUACACUAAUGACUCUUAUAGUUAUGAAUUUAUACACAGUGCAGUCAUGAAUGGCUUUGAGGUUCGAGUGUAUUGGCCUGAUGAACUAGAUUCACCCUGCAAUGGCCUCACUUCCACUGGCAAUUGUUAUCCACGCACCAUCCCAGGUGCGUAAUUCUCAAAUGAAGUACUAACUUAUAAUUACUAUGUUCUCGAAUAAGCUUAUUUGAUGGAUCGUUUGUAGAGUUUAUUUUACAUUGUAUUUCAAUAAUUCAUCUGUCUAUCUUUUAGUUCUUUCUUUAAAAGCCAGUCAUACUAAUGUUUUUUUUAGAAAAAUCAUAAUCUUCUAUUUUCUUUACUACAAUUUAAUGUGUUUAUGGUUUUGGAUUUUUCUAAUUUUUUUUAUCUAUGAAUGAUGUACUAAAAUAUAAAUAGUUUAGAUCGUUGUAACAAAUACUAGUGUUUUUUUGAAAAAUCGUAUUCUUCUAUUUUCUUUACUACAAUUGACUGUGUUUAUGGAUUUGGAUUUUUCUAAUUUUUUUUAUCUAUGAAUGAUGUACUAAAAUAUAAACAGUAUAGAUCCUUGUAACAACAUGAGCAGCACCAGUUGUUCCUCAACGGAAGAGGAAUAUAUAUAUAUAUAUAUAUAUAUAUAUAUAUAUAUAUAUUUCUGUGCGAAACCUCCCGCUAAGCCAUUCAUUUUGCUUGAAAAAUAUACUGAAAAUAUAACUUUAGUCCAUAAAAUUUAAUUUUCUCCACAUAAAACCCAAUAUAAGUUUUUUACUCGAAUAAAACUCAUUGACUAGAUUCCAGCAAAUUCAUUAAUUAUAUCUGACUUUACACAUUUAAAAAAUUUUGAUGCCCAAAACACCCCUAUUUGAAUGUUUGAUUUACACAAUUAAUUCCAUACAAAUUGUAAGGGAUAAUUAAUGAUUUUACAAAAAUAAAAAUAAAUAAAUUCAUUGCCUAAUAUAUAAUACCAAUAAAACAUGCCUAAUAAAUGUAGUAAUACAUGCUCAGUUAAGUCAAUAAAAUUAUAUUUUAUAUAUAAAUGUAGGUAAAUUAUUUUACACACACAUAUAUAUAACAACAAAAAAAAAAAUAUGCCUGAUAUACAUAAAAAUUCAAGCAAAAUAAUUUACCUACAUAAUAAAGCAUACCCAAUAUAUGCAAAAUAAUGUACCUACAUAACAAAAUAUUAUUAUUUUAUUCAAUACUAGUUUACCUAUUAUUUGUGCAUAUAAUAAUAAAAUGUGCCUACAUACAAAAUAAAAUACCUACAUAAUGAAGAAAUGUUAUUUGAUUCAAAAUUAAUUUAGUUACAAAAUAAAGCAAUUGUAUUCUAUUCAAGAUUAAUUUACCUAUUAUUCGUACAUAUAUCUUAUAAUAAUAAAAUGUGCCAAAUAUAUGUAAUAAUACAUGGAAAAUAAAUUACCUACAAAGUAAAAGAAUGUUAUUUGAUUCAAUAUUAAUUUACCUACAAAAUGUAUGUUAUUUGCUCAUCAUAAAUUUAAAUAUAGGUAGAUUAAUUAGUUUAAUAUGUUUGAUCAUAUAUGUAGCACUGUGCAUGUAUAUAUAUAUGUGAACGUAUAGUAGUACUAUAUAUAGGUAAACUAUAUAUGUGUGUACACACACACAGAGAUAUAUAUAUAUAUAUAUAUAUAUAUAUAUAUUGAGCUUAUGGUGGUAAUAUAUACAUUUGAACAUAUAUAUGUGUGUUUUAGGGGUAAUAAUAUGUGCAAUAAUUAUAUUUUCAUUGUAAUUAAGGUGAGUAAUAACAUUUAAUGAUUUUAUUUUAAAUAUUGUGGUACAAGUUGUAAAUAUUUGGUAAUAAUAGGUCAAUUACUUCUAUACUUGACAGUUAUUUUUAAAUUUGGAUUUUAUUUAGUUAUUUAUAACUAGGUGGGUUUUUGUCUAGGAAAUAAGAGUUGCAAGGAUCUAUAUCUAAAGAACCCAAAAAUAUAUCAACAAUAUUCACAUCAUGUCAACAGUAUAUAGAUACAUAUAAACAUUAUUAUGGAUAUCAUAUCGUAACAAUAAUAUCUUAAUAAUACAAUAUUUAUGAGGUUAUCUGAACUUUAUAAAGAGAUAAACAUUUCAUCCUAUUAAGACUCUUUAUAUUGUGGUUGUUGUCUAUAUUUCUAUUACAGCUAAACACUUAUAAUUGUUUUUCUUAUAAUUAUUUUUCUUAGGGUAAAUUAUACUUUGCCAUCUUUUGAGAUCGAUUUCAAUUCCUUACAACAUCUUUAAAACAUUUCACUUUCAUAUCUCAAAUACUAUUUUUUUUCAAUAUAGUACAUCUAUUACAUUUUUCAUUCAUUUAUCCGUUAAGAAUUGACGUGACUGCUACAGUUAUGUCACGUGGCUGCCAAAUUUGUGAUAACAAAUUUAUAUUUUUAUUCAUUUAAAAAUAAUUAAUUAAAAAAGAUAUCAAUUAAAAAAAAAAAAAAAACAACCCAGAAGCCAUCUUCUUCCCCGCCCCCCUUCCCUGCAACCCAAACCCCCCAUCACCCCACCCCACCCAAAACCCCCAAAAUCAAAAGGGGGAAUUGAAUUCUCAAGACGAAAAAAAAAAAGCACUUCACACAGAUCCAAUCAGAGCAAAACCCAGAUUUGAUCACACACAGAAACCCUCAAAUUAAAACCCAGAUGCAAAAUCCCCAAAUUUAACUGAAAAUCGCAGCUUAGACGGAGCUAGAAGAUUACCUUACCAUCGACGAUGAGGCAGCAGUCCAUGCGAUCAUUGUGAGUGGAGACCUCAGUCAAAGCAAAGGGAAUUCUAGAGAGAGAAAGAAGAGAGAGAGAGAGAAGAGAAAUGGACUGAGAGAGGGAGAAGAGAAGUGGACUGAGAAGGAGAAAGCAGCUACAAGACCCGAUCCGUCUUCUUCUUCUUGUCUCCGUGGGGGCACCUCUGUGUGUCUUCUGCAACUCUCGUUUCCUGGGUUUUUUAGGGUUUUCGGUUGGGGGGGUUGCGGGGGAGGUGGGGUGGGGUGGAAUGGGGGGUUUGGGUUGCAGGGAGGGGGUCGGGGAAGAAGAUGGGUUCUUGUUUUUUUGUUUUUUUUUAUUUAUUUAUUUUUUAUUUAAAUUAAUAAUUUUUAAAUUAUUUAUUUUUAAAUGAAUAAAAAAAAUUUGCCACGUGGCAUAAAUAUGGCAACCAUAUCAGCUUUUAACGGAUCAAUAGAUGAAAAAUAUAACGGAUGUACUAUAUUGAAAUAAAAUAGUACUUGAUGUAUAAAAGUGAAAUAUUUUAAAGAUAUUGUAAGGAAUUGAAAUCGAUACCAAACUUAAGAUGGUAAAGUGUAAUUUACCAUUUUUCUUAUAUAAUGGCCAUUUCCGAAUACUAUAUCCCAAUUUUGCGGUCAAUUAUAUGACAAAUGAAUUAUGUUGCUUUAUUUCUUAUAUAUGCUAAUGCUGUACAGGUACAAAUGGCAACAACUUGAAUUUUAUUUGCCAACGGUUGUUAUGCUAAUGUUGUUUUAUUCUUUUACUGUAGGUUUCUUUCAACAUGCAUGGGCUAAAAUCCGUGAGUGGCCCCUCUCCAUCCGUAAGUGGUCCCUCUCCAAAACAAAAAUAAAGAAAAUAAAUCUCUCCUUUUUGUUUCUCUUUAAAAUUCAAUAUUUACAACUUUAGAGUAGACCU
This 8170-nucleotide long non-coding RNA is filed under the name Malus domestica (apple). Its description in RNAcentral is "long non-coding RNA (MDOM_LNC000766)". Lineage: Eukaryota; Viridiplantae; Streptophyta; Magnoliopsida; Rosales; Rosaceae. The record is from RNAcentral.